GCCCUGAGCCUCUCACAGCACGGAGGUGGAGCUGCAAAAUUACCCUGAAGCUGAGCAUCUCAAAGCUGAAGCAACCCUAGUGGUCAUCUCCUGUGAUUUUCCAUUUUACUACAAUAUUCCUCAUAGCAAGACAACCAUCCUCUGUUUGAACACUCCAAGGACAGGGAGUUCUCUCUUUCUCACAAGAGCAACUCUUAUCAUUCAACAGCUCUAAUCAUUAAAAUGCCUACAGUUAUAUGGUGUCAAAUUAUACCUCUGAAUAACUUGGAUCGUUUUGUCUUUUAGACUUGUACAAAAAAUGCCCAUGGCCACUGACCCAAGAUCCAGCAUGAGGAGAAGUUUGAUGAAAAAGACAAAGGUCUCAACCAAUUGUGUUUUAAACUCGUUCGAAUUUUUGCAAAAGUAUAAGCCUACAGGCUUCCCUGAUGGCUCAGCAGGUCACCCGAGUGGCAAGAAACAGCAGAAAUGGGGAAUUUCCUAGUGGUCCAGUGGUUAGGACGCUGUGCUUUCACUGCCAGGGCCUGGGUUCAAUCCCUGAUCAGGGAACUAAGUUUCCCCAAGCCACAGGACAUGGCCAAAAAUAAAAGAAAGACCAGAAAUGAGACAGAAAUCUUUGGGUAGACAGCACAGGGGGAGCAAUUGGACUAUGGAACCCUAAAUCAGUACCUGAAGAAAUUAACAAGUUUCUUUUUUCUUACUAUUGUCUGCUGACUCCUACUGAAAUUUUAAGAAUACAGUGCUUCUAACUUUUAACAUGUGGUUAACAUUGCUGUAUUUUGUGAUCCCAAUGUAGGGAUCAUAAUAUGAU
Molecule: long non-coding RNA, 808 nt
Organism: Bos taurus (domestic cattle)
Lineage: Eukaryota; Metazoa; Chordata; Mammalia; Artiodactyla; Bovidae
Source: Ensembl